UCAAGUUAUCCUUAGUGGUAAUAUUAUUUACAAUAAUAGAAGUAUUUGUGCAAUUCAAAUUGGCUUGA
This 68-nucleotide transfer RNA is filed under the name Dindymus rubiginosus. RNAcentral's name for it is "tRNA-Val". Lineage: Eukaryota; Metazoa; Arthropoda; Insecta; Hemiptera; Pyrrhocoridae. The record is from RNAcentral.